This 15139-nucleotide long non-coding RNA is filed under the name Gossypium barbadense (sea-island cotton). RNAcentral describes it as "long non-coding RNA (GBAR_LNC003301)". The stretch from base 12013 to 12119 matches the Rfam family "Plant small nucleolar RNA R71". Lineage: Eukaryota; Viridiplantae; Streptophyta; Magnoliopsida; Malvales; Malvaceae. The record is from RNAcentral.
GUUGAGCUUGACCAUUUGGCUUCCCCAACAGUUUUAAAAUAGUUUGAUGACAUCUUAAGUGCGAAUAAGGUAAGAAGCCCCGAUGCCUUGUAUCAUACUGUCUGCUUGUUAUCUAGUAUAAAUUAGAUUUCUUUGAUUUGUAUUGUUAAUAUAGAUAUUACCUUAUUGUUAUUUUUUGGUCCAGUCAUGUGGAAAUUUUUUAAUGUUAUUUGUUCAUUCAAGUUUCUCAAAAUAUUAGGUGUGGUUUUCUCAUUCUGUAUUGGUCUUUCUAUAGUCCUUUUUAGUUGGUUUAGAAAUAUAUUUGGUUUGAUUAUAGAUUUAAGUGAUAUUACCAAUGAAUAUUUCUGGAUUCAGAAUAAAUUAUGUUUCACUUGCCUAGUAAUGAAUUACCAAUGAAUAUUCGUGGCAGAUAUUGAGUAUGCAAUUAGAGUCCAUCUUUUGGAAAAGUCAGUCGAAUAUAUUUCCCAAAUAUUAUGUGUUUGAAUAUAUUCUAGUAGUAGCAGCCCCGAGUUGGAAGGGCUGAGAACAACCGGGUUGCAGAGAAUGGAAAUGGUAGAUCCAUUUAUGUUAAGGUGAAGAUGGAAAUAGUAGCAAUAACAAGAAAGAUUGAUAUAAAGCUUUAUCACUCUUAUCAAUCACUUACCGACUCCUUGAUCACCAUGUUUUCCAAAGGUAAAGUCAUUGAUUAUAUACAUAAAUUCUGAUUACAUGAUUAAUUAUAUGAUCAAUGACUUUUGUCGAAACAAAUUCUGAUUCUUACUUUAUGGUGGCAUUAUUAAAAAUUUAUCUUUCCAUAUCACAAUUCAAAGAGAUCAGAUAAUGUACUUUGACAUAUGUGGCUUUGAGGGUCGUAUAAGUGAUUUCCUUACUGGCCUGACUUUGGCUUAUAGGUGCAUACUUUGGCUUUCUGUUCCGAUGUUUUGGAUUCUCUGGUUGUUGAAUUGAAAGCAUCAAAGGACUUCUCUAAGUUAUAUGCAGGCAUUGCAAUACUUUGGUUUCAUCUAAGCUUGAACCAACCCUAUGUUGUAUAUUGUUUCUUCUUCUUUUCUGAUCUUUUUCCUUUGAUUAAUGAGAGGUGAUGAUUAUUUGGCAUUCUUUUCUCACCAGGAUGAAUUUUGUUUUAGAAAUAGUAAUACUUUGUGAGUGUGUUUGUAUGUUUUUUUAUGUAUUAAAUUAUAUAUUGAAUCAAUGUUUAUGUAUUAAAUUUAAAUUCAUUAAUUUUUAUAUUUAGUUUUAAAGUUAAAAUUUUAAUAGAAAAUUUAAUUCCAUUAAUAUUUUUUAUUUAUCCUUAAAAGUAUAUAGUUUAAAGUUCAACUUUCAAAAAUUAAACAUAAUAUAAUAUUUAUCAUAGAAAUAAAUAUUAUUUAAUUAAAAUAAAUUUUUUAAAGGUCAUGUUCUUUAGCGGCGUUUGUGAGAAAAGCGUCGCUAAAAGUCUAUUUUAUAGUUGCAUUUGUGGGAAAAGCGCCGCUAAAGGUCAUGUUCUUUAGCGGCGUUUUUGGGAAAGCAUCGCUAAAGAUCAUGUUCUUUAGCGGCGUAUGUCGAAAAAGUGCCGCUAAAGAUCAUGUUCUAUAGCGGCAUUUUUUUCAUAAACGCUGCAAAAUGUUAGUGGCGUUGUCUUUAGUGGCACUUAUAGGCCCAAAAAAAUGCCGCUAAAAACCUGUUUUGCUGUAGUGGGUAUUAUUUCAAUGCCUUCAAACUUGCUUUUUUUAAAAGGAUAAUUAUUUACUAUAUAAUGAAACUUAUUUGCAGUGUGGGUUGUUGAACUUAUCAAAUUAUACUACCUAGAAAGGUGGGCCUAGGUUUUGGCUUUUGUGCUAUAUUGCUUUUUUCAUCAUACAAGAUCCUUUAUUGUUCUAAUAGCUAUUACUGUCAUUAUGUUUUGCAUGACAGUGAGUGCAAUUACUAUAGAACAUGGUUCCUUCUUCUGUCUUGUAGAAAAUAUUUUUUUAAUGUAAUGUAUAUUUCUAUUAAUGCAAUGCAUAUUGCUUUUUAUUGGAAUCUUGUCCCUAGAUCAUAUGGUUAUGCUACCUCAAGCCAUAAUGUUAAAGCUCCAAUCAACUCGAUGCUUCAAGUCCAUGUCAUGAUCUUAUUCUACAUCCAUUAGCGUCUAGAGCAUUUGGUGCAACCCUCGAAAACUAUAUGCAUUAUGCUAUUUCUUCCGAUUAUGAUACACAGAGUAUCCAACGAAUUGGGGGUGGUUUUAUUGAUCUCACAAUGAGUGGUGGAAAAGGACCUCAUAAGUGAAAAAGCCCUACAUUCCCUUAUGUCUAUGAAGUGGUGGUUCUAGCAGAUAUGUAUGACUUGGGUAUUCAUUUAAUCUUCCUCUCUCUUCUGACUUAUGCCAAGAGAAACCUAAUAUAGGUCCUCAACACAUGCACUAAGAUCAUGUUGUCAUGCCCCCAAGUUAUAGAGGCAAUAACAUUUCAAUUAGGGGUGAGGGUUCUACAAGGAAUGCUAGAAGUUGUCCAACACUUGAUCUUCAAUCCAACCUAGUCAGAGUGCAUAUACUAAGCAAUCUUUUACACACUUCCCAUUCUACAAGCCACCCAAUUGAUUAUUCUAGAUCGGUAGACCUCUCAGGUCAAAGCUCUAAUACUUUGUCUAGUGAGUGGGAGUGGGGCCAUUUGAGAAUGUCCCCUAUCCAUGGAAGGAUUCAAGCUUCAGAUAACUUAGUUAAAUAUAUUUCUAUGAUGUUUUAAUUCUCCCAUUAUUUUUGAGUCCGUUACCUAUGAAUUUCAUAUCCAGGUGAUCUUAAUCAUGAGACAAACCACUUUCUGGGAGGUAGCGGUGUUACAAAUGGUUCUAUAGAGUUUGAGAGACUUCAGCAUGAUUUAAUUUCAAGUGGAAAUCCCAUUCUUCCUUAUAGUUUCCAUGGAAGCUCGGGACAUUCUAUGAGGGGUGUUCGCACAAACUACUCUUAUAGAUUUAGCCCGGCUUUCAUGGCUUCUUUCAACAAGGUGUGAUUAGGAUAUGUAGGAUGCUCAGAAGAGGGGAUGCAGAUUGUUACUGGGAAAUAUUCCUUUAGACAUCCUGGCCAUUUUCAGUUAUAACAUGGCAUAAUAAUGAUCGGGUUUGGCGGUCAAGGACAUUUAAUGAAAGAUAUCGAUCUCCAGCUGAUGAUGCAAAAUUUUCCAUGAUCAAUUUACUUAUAAGGUGUUUUCCUCUUAUGUGGGACAAAUGGUUUUGCUUAGGAAACUUGGGUAGACUUAUUACAUGUCCUCUAUUAAUAGUAUGAAAGGUUAUUUGAUAUAGUGUUCAGCAUGUUGGAUCUCUUCUGAGAGUGUUGUACUACUUCUUAGUAGUGCACUUUUUGACUUAUUUGUCUAAAGUAUCAUUCUUUGUCAAUUAAUAGUGGCUUGUUCUGUUGAUGACUAGACUAUCAAUAGUCAUUACAUUUUAUGAUUCUAAUCUAGCCAAAUGUUUCAAAUGAAGUGUUUGGCCAUGAGAUAAAUUUUAUCUUGCCAACUAACUUCCUUGAUUUUGUGACUUACAACACAUUAGUUGAUUGUUACAAUGUGUUCUCAAUAUGUCCUGAUUGAGGACCGCUCAGCCUUUUUUGAAUCAAGAUAUAUGUUCAAUCAGCAGGGAGAGAUGAUGUUGGACAUAGAAAACAUGAAUUAUGAGGUGUGUACAUAUAUUUCCUUUCUCAAUUAAAGUUUGAUUUCAUUCUUAUUUGUGUUGUGUUAUAAGUGAAGUUGGAUUUUAACUGUAACAACCCAUUUUUAGUCAAAUCGGAAUAGUGGUUUUGGGACCACAAAUCUGAGGUAAAAAUAUUUAUUUUAUUACUAUUUUAAGGUCUAUAGCAUGAAUAUAUGAUCGUGUGAAAGUUUCAUUUAGAAAUUUUAUCAUUUGACUGCUUAUACGGUAAAAAAGGACUAAAUCACGUAAAGUGUAAAAAUGGAGUUCAAUUAGCUAAAAGUGUUUAAUAGCUAUAGAACCUUAAAGUUAAGGUCCUUAUGUUGCAAUUAGACCAUUAAUAGCAUGAGUAGACAUAUAUGGACAUAUAUUAAGGUGUUUUAAAUGAUUUUAUAUAAGGUUAAUAUACUAAUUCAUCAAAUAAAGAUUAAAUAAUUAAAACAAAAGAAAAAAAAAUUUCAUUCAUCUUUCUUCCAACAGAAAUUAAGAAAGAAAAGAAGCCAUGGUUCAGCUUUGAAGGUUCGACUAAUGCAUGCUUCAAUUGUAAGUGAUUUUUUGACCCGAUUUUUAGUGAUUUUUAUGUUUAUGAGUUUGUUGUAGCUCAAUCUAUCUAGCCCGUACCUUCGAUUUCAAAACCGUUAACAUUUGUGAGAGUUUCCAUUGAUGUACAUAUGUGUUCUAUGAUGAUUAUGAUGAAUUGUGAAUGUUGGAUGAUAGAUAUACAAAUUUAGUUAAGUGAUUUUUAGUGAAAAUGCAAAAUAGGGAUUAAAUUGAGAAAUGUGUGAGUUAGUGGUUAAAAUGUGGAAUAAAUGAAAAAUAUAGGCUGCUAGGGGCAUAAUAGUAAUUCGGGUAGAAUGGGUAUUUUGGAAUUUCAUUAAUUUGUGAUUUUAUGGAAUAAGACUAGGGGAAAAAGUGUAGAUGUGUUUUAAAGUGUGUUUUGGACUAAAUUGAAUAAAUAGAGGAUUGAUUAAGUCAAUUUUGAAUAUAUUUAGAUCAAAAAAGGAGAAAUACGGACUUAGAUGGUGAAAAGAAUAAAGUAACAGAAUAGUUGACUCGAUUAGCCGUUUUAGCAUCCGAGGUAAGUUCGUAUGUUAUUGAUCGCGUGAUUUCGUGAUAGGUUUUAAAUAUUUAUAAUUAAUCAUUCUUGAAACUAACUAUUAUCGCGAUGUAGGCAAGUGUACCUAUCGAACAGUAGUAAAGUUUUAGCAAGGCCGGAUUGUUGAACCUAAAGGAACUAAAAGUACUAGUAAUAACUGUCUUUUUAUUAUCUAGCCUAGGAAUAAAAAGGUUUUGUUUUAACUAACUAAUUAUCUAAACUAAGAACUCACAGAGAAUAGAAUUAGGGGAUUGCUUUUGUGAAAAUCGAUUGAAUCAAGACAAUACCUAAGGAAAAAUCCACCUAGACUGCAUUUGUUAUUCUGGCUCCGAAUCGGAUGAUUUAUUCAUUUAACUUGUUCCGUAGUGAUCCCUAAGUUAUGUUAUUAUCCCUAUUCAAGACUAAUAACGUCUAAUCCCUAGAUUGAAUAAUUAAGACCUUUCUCUAAUUAACACCCUAGGGUUGCAUUAACUCGAUCUAUGGAUCCCCUUAUUAGGUUUCACCCUAAUCCGGUAAAAUCUUGUCACCCUAUGUCUAGGCGCGCAAACAACUCCGCUUAAUUAUGAGAAAUGUACUCUUAGAUAGGGUCUAUUCCUUCUCUGAAUAAGAGCUUAUCUUAAAUCAGUAUCCUGAGAUAUCAAAACAAGAAUUAAGAACACAUAAUUAAGAACAAGUUAAAUAUUUAUCACACAAUUCAGAAAAUAAUAACAAGGUUCGUCUUAGGUUUCAUUCCCCUUAGGUAUUUAGGGGAUUUAGUUCAUAACUAAAUAAGAAAACAUCUCAGAAAAAUAAAGAAUACAAAACAUAAAGAAAACCCAAAACUCUUGAAGGGGAAAUUGAAGAGGGAUCUUCAGUCUUGAUGAUGAAUCCGGCUUCUGAGAUGGAUCAAUCGGCUUUCUUGGAGUAAUUCCUUAAUCCCUAUUCUGUGUGUCCUCUUUCUUCCUCAUCUAGGGUGUAUUUAUAGGCUUUAGGAUGCCUAAGAGCCCUCAAAAGUGACAUUUUUUGAAUUGGACUCAACUUGGGCUCGGCAGGGACGCGCCCGUGUGUGAUUAUUUAAGGCCGUGUUCGAGCCUGUUAGAAUGGCAUGGGCGUGUGUUCUACCCGUGUGAGUCGUGCUCCGAUUCUGCCAAAUUGACACGGCCGUGUGGGCGGCCCGUAUGAGAAAGUCCAGGCCGUGUUGAUUUCGUACUUUUGCCCAUUUUCUCUGUUUUGGCCCGUUUCUCGUUCCUUUCACUCUUUUAUGCUCUUUUAAGUAUAAAACAUGAAAUUAAAGCAUUAGGAGCAUUGAAUUCACCAAUUCUAAUGGGAAAUCAUCCAUAAAAUGUGUUUAACAUGGGGUGAAAAUAUGUAUAAAUUACGGUUUAUCAAAUACGCCCACACUUAAGCAUUUGCUUGUUUUCAAGCAAAAUUCUCAACUCAUAAUCAAAAUAAAUUCUUCUCAAUUUAUAAUUUCUAUCGAUAAUAUCUCAAAAUAAUCCAUAGGUAAUCAUACAUUGAGAAUUCAACUAAAAGAACAUAAAAGUUUCAAACAUUCCAAGUUGAGUAUUUAAUCAUGUAAACAUAGGUGUCUCCCCUCAUCUAAGUAAUUACCAUUGAUUCAAAAUAUCACAAAGUUUCACAUCCUCGCUACAGAUUCACUCAAAUCACUCGAGGUGUUUAAGGACAAUAAAUGAAGCACUCAAUAGUCAAUAAUGAAAAGUCAUUACCAUAGGUUUGCAUGAAAAUCAAAUCUCCACCACUAUAAAUUGAAAUGAAACAUCAAUCAAAAGGUCUUUAGAAGGUAGUAACGAGGCUUGGUUAGGGGGUGUGGUCACAAGCUGAAAGAAAGGGAUAGGAUUGAGAUUGAAUUGAAAAAUUUCCUAACUAGAAAAAGGGUUAAUCAUUACUUGCGUACAAUAGGGCUUCUUCUUAGAAUAUGGAAUUACUACUGUGUAUACAUUUUUUUAAGAACAAGUUAAAUAACAUAGACUAACUAUUAAGAACAAGACAUAGCUAAGCAAUUUUUUAAACUCAAAUCUCGACAAAAAUAGAGAUUAAUUUAGUGGAUUUCAACAAUAAUGGGCUAAUAGUUAAUAUUAAGGGUAAUACAAGAAAUGGCUUGUUAGGCUCAAGGGGUUUACUAGGGGUUAAUCGUGGAGGUAGGCUUUUCAUGGCAUGAGUGGGUUAUUCCUAAGUGCCUUAAUCAUUUUGACAUAUCAAAUCAAUUGGUGUGGUCUUGACGUGCAUAAUCAAGCAAGUUCUAGAAUAACAGUUCGAUAUUGACACACUCAAAACAAUAAUAAAAGUGAGCAUGACAGAAUUAAUAGAUGCUCAAAAGGCUCAAAAAUCUCACAAAAAUUAUGGCUUUUUGAUGUUUAAAACUUGUGAAUUCUAACUCAAAGUAAUACAUAACUUUGGGGAAACAACCUAAAAUUUUAAAUUCUUAAAAAUUAACUUACCAUGCUUGAUUCUUUAAUGUCUUAAAGUUUAAACAAUCAAUGCAUAAAUGCCUAUGUUUUAAUAAAUCAAUCAUCAUCAUAAAUCAAUCAAAAUUUAUCCUAAAUACGAUAUGAGAGCUUUCCAAGAGAACAAGACACUCAUUCAGGGAUUUUUCUGAUAAUGAAAUAAAUAUCCCCCCACACUUAAGAUGUACAUUGCCCUUAAUGUACAAAGAUAGAUAUUAGAAUAUAAAAAUAAGAUAGGGAGAGAAGUGAAACUUCCUGUAUGAUGAAUUCCUCGAACUGGAGUUUUGGAGAGUAAUCGGUGCGAGAGUGGAGGAGGAUACUCCAGCGAUGGUAGAGGUUCAUUAGUCCAUAAGUCCUGCGCCAAAAGAAUGUUAUAUCUAGUGGUAGCUAUGGUCGUGGUCAAUCAGGACAUGGCAGUCAUGGAGAACCUUUCUCGGUGGAGUUUUUAGUUCCUAUAUGAUGAUAAGCUUAAGAGCUUUAUAUAACUGUGAUAAGAUCAGGAGCUUUUUAGGGGAUAUUAGGAAGAAAAAUUACUCAUAAAGAAAUAACCGAAAUUCAUAAUUAAAAAUAAAAAGUAGUUUUAAUAAAAAUUAAAAACAUAAAAUAAUAAAUAAAUAUUUUUAAACAUCUUCAUCGCUGGAUGGUUCGCGAGGUGGGACUGGUGAUGAGAUGUGGAGGUGCUAACAAAUCUGCUGUAGAGUGGCAUCAAUGUUGUCAAAUUGUUGAAAGCACUGUUGCUCGAACCGAGUGAGGGGCUCAGAGAUAUCAGCAUAUGAAGCUGCCGCACAAACUGGAUGAGAGGGUGGCGAUGGCUGGGAUGGUGGGUCCUUUUGCUGCGGAGGGACAUCAUCAGGAAUGUCCUCGUAGGCCUCCUCCUCAGUAGAUUAGGCGAGACGAUAUUGAGGAGGGUAGGUUCCUCAGUGCUUUUCGAUCAUCCUCCUGCUAAGCAUGCUUGAGAUGCCUUGUGGAGACAUCUGGCCAAUGAGGGUUAAGGAUGAUUCUUGGGUUGCGGUGCUGAGGAGCCUGAAGUGUCGAGUCAACCGAGGAACAUAGGGGCCAAUGGAGAUGACCCCCUUCCUAUGCCACUUCAUCUGGUGCUGAAUCGCGAGGGCGAUGAAAUAGGCAAGGUUGAUGACGUGCCCGUGCGACAUGCACCAUAAAAAGUAGGCAUCGUGAGUGUUGAUGACGCCGGUGCUCUCUCGCCUUCCUGUAAUCGUGUGAGCCAAAAUGGCGUGUAAGUGCUUCAGAGAUGGUAGGAGAACUGAUGCCUUGGAGCGGCUAGGAUUGUAGGAGGCAGCGCCAGGGGCCAAAGUGUGCCAGCACUUCGAGGGAGAGAAGUGUAUGUGGCGAGUGAGAGCAUGUAGUUCAUUCUCCUCCUUAAACUCCUCCGUAUAUAAGCACAGUGUAGCACUAAACUCUGGGACACUUAGCUGGCGGAUUAAUUCGCUUAGGCAAAAUUGGACCGUGCCGGGAUCAUCGUAGUUUGUCAUUACGGUAUGAAGAUAGAACGUUGAGCAUAGUUCCAUCGUAAGCUCGAGGUAUGUUGGCUCGAUGAUCCCAAAGAACAGCUCCUAAGGGUCGGUGGUUAGGAGGGCCUGAAUCGCAUCAGCCAACUGAACUUGUUCUACGGCAGCCCAGUCGAUGCAACGGCCCGCAAUUAAAGGUUAGGCCUGAAGUAUUUGGAAAAUUUCUUCUUGGGGCCCUUGAGGGAACUGUAGGAGAGGGUGAUGAAUUUCCAUGGUUAGACCCGCAAAAGAUGACGCUCCCUUCCUCUUCUUCGAAGCACGUACGGCGGUUUUCUUUCCUCGUGAAGACAACAUGGUACCUAAAAUCAAAACCAUUAAUUCAUCUUCAGGGAUGAUCAACGUAAAAUGAAGACAAAUUUCAAAUAAAAAUCAGAAUUUUAGCCACAACUAUUAAUAUUAACCAAACAUUACCAGCAUAAUUUCGUGACAUUAUCAUUGUAAUGGCAUGAGAAUGGGCAUAGUAAAGGCAUGUGUAUGACAAAAGAGUGAGGCUUUAACAACUCGAUUUAACAUGAAAUGUAUGAUAAAUAAUCUAAUAAUGCAGAAAUAAUGAACAGAAUGGAAAUAGUAAGAGAAAAAUAAAGAUUAUUUUAAAAAUAAACAUUAAAAGUAAGUAGAAUAGAGGUGAAAAGAGUAAACAAACGCUAAGGAAGAGAAAUCGGGCAUCAAAAAUGGAGUUAGAGGCGGCGCACGGGUGUGGCAGGGAGGCCGUGUGGACUUGCAGCGGCUAGGAUUAGGGUUUUUGAAUGGGGAAGAAAGUGAAUAGUGCAGGGUAUUUAUAGAUUUUGGGCCACACGGCAAGGGCACACGCCCGUGUUCCCUAAUUUUUGCCCGUGUGUUUCGCGUUUUUCCUAUUUGAGCGCGUCUGAAAUUUGUCCCACGCCCGUGUACCUUGGGCGUGUGGGUGCACACGACCAUGUUGCACGAUCCUGUCUAGCUUCGUUCGCUUCUCCCAUACCCGUGUAUGCAAGGUCCAUGCCCGUUUUAAUUUAACAAGUUCGACCACGGGUACUAGAGACUAGCGUGUCGCACGCCCAUGCUGUUUUAACAGGUUCACCCACGGUUCUUCCACACGGGUGUGUCGCACGCUUGUGUUAUUUUGGCAGGUUCGACCACGGCCAUGUUGCACGGCCGUGGCAUUUUAUCGUAGCCCAUGUGGGGAAAUCUUUUGCCUUGUUUUCACACGCCCCUAAGCAUGCCCGUGUGCUUGGUCGUGUCUCUGUGGAAAACCUGUUAUUCAAGAGCUCUGUUAGUAAGUUAGGUGUUGAAGACUAAAUUUUAAAGAAGUUAAUACAAUUAGUGCUCGGGUUGCCUCCCAAGAAGCACUUAUUUAUAGUCUAAGCUUGACUUACCUCUCUGUUGAAUGAUCAUGAUGGUUUGAGGAGUUUAUACUCCUCAUUCCUACUACCAAUCUCAUCAAAAUAAGGUUUUAAACGAGUGUUGUUUACCUUAAAAGUGCCGAACUUGGGAUGACUCACCUCGACCGUACAAAAUAAGAAAAUGCUGAGUACCGUAAGAGGGAUUUGUUCAUUCGAUGUGGUAGCGACAAUGUGGGGAUCUGCGGCAUCUAAUAAGACUCUAUCUCCAACCUUAAGUUAUUUGGAAAGGUAUUGAGCUCGUUCUGUUGUAGAUUCGGUUUGUCGGGUGUUCUUGGUUUAUACGUCUAUCAUUCAUCUAGCUCCUCGAUUUGUAGCCUUCAAUCUUCAUGAAUAGGUCCUCUACUAUUGCUUGAGAAUGGCUCAUGUACUUCCUUCAGACUCAUUUCCUGUAAAGAAGGUUACACCAUAUUCUCAAUUUUAGUAGAACGGUUUAGAUGAUCAUCUUCAAUUUCCAAUGUGUUGCCGGAAUUGCGAGCUUGAAGGGUGAUUGUUUCGUCUCCCACAUGGAGUGUGAGUUCACUUGUGCCAACCUUAAUAAUUGUUUUAGCAGUUGCUAAAAAGGGCCUUCCUAGAAUCAAAUGAGUGUUGCUAUCUUCCUCUAUGUCUAGAAUAAUGAAGUCAACGGGAAAUAUAAAUUUUUCGAUUUUAACUAGCACAUCUUCAAUAAUACCCCUAGGGAAUCUUAUAGUUUUAUCUGCUAAUUGAAUGCUAAUUGAAUGCUCAUCCUAGUCUGUUUGGGUUUCCUGAGACCUAGUUGCUUAAACAUUUUGUAAGGCAUGACGUUGAUACUAGCCCCUAAAUCAGCUAAUGCAUUAUUAUCAUCUAAACUACCAAUUAAGCAAGGAAUCAUAAAACUCCCUAGAUCUUUUAAUUUGUUCGGUAGCUUAUUUUGCAGAAUAGCUGAGCACACUGCGUUUAGCUCCACAUGCGACGCCUCGUCCAACUUCCUCUUAUUUGCUAAAAGCUCCUUUAAAAAUUUCAUUGCAUUUGGCAUCUGUGAUAGAGCUUCAAUAAACGGUAAGUUAAUGUGUAAUUUUUUUAAGAGUUUAAGGAAUUUACCAAAUUGUUCAUCUGAGCGGCCUUUCCUUGUCGCGUUGGGGUAUGGUACACGAGGUUUAUAUUUGACAUUCACUGAUUUGUUUUUAUUAUGACCUACCUUACCUUGACCUUUGUUUAGCACAGUUUCUUGCCUCGGUUCUGGUUCAGGCUCAAUGACUCAUUUGUCAUCUUGAAUAUUAAUCGCGUUGAGCUGUUCCCUUGGGUUAGGUUCAGUAUUACUUGGCAAGCUACCUUGUGGUCAUUCAGAGAUUAGUUUAGAAAGCUGGCCUAUAUGAGUUUCGAGCCCUUGGAUUGACGCUUGUUGAUUUUUAAGUGCCAUUUCGGUGUUCUAAAAAUGGGUUUCUGAUACCAAAUAAACUUUGUGAGCUUCUCUUUAAGGUUCGGUUUCUUUUCCUGUUGAUAGGGUGGCUGUUGGUAGCCUAGAGGUGGUCCCUGAUUUCCUUGGCCUCCCCAUGAGAAAUUUGGGUGGUUCCUCUAACCUGUAUUAUAAGUGUUACUAUAUGGAUAUUUUGAGGUCGAAGAUUAUUACCCAUGUAAUUUAAUUGCUCGUUAUCCAUGUUGUAGCCAUAAGGUUGGUAUUCCGAAUGGCUUGUUCCACCUCCACUUGCUUCACACUGCAUUACUGGGUGAACCUGUGAAGAACUAAGAAAACCAUCAAUUUUUUUAUUCAAAAGUUCUACCUGAUUAGAGAGCAUGGUGACUGAAUCUACGUUAUAAACAUCGGCUGUUUUCGUUGGCUUUGUCCUCAUGACUUGCCACUGCAUUACUCAGGUGUUUUAUUAUUGAUGGUUCCGCUAGCAGCUGCGUCAACCAUUUGCCGAGUCGAAGGAUUCAGGCCAUUAUGGAAUGUUUGAACCUGAAGCCAAAGCGGUAACCCUUGGUGAGGGCACCUUCUCAAAAGGUUCUUGUAUCUCUCUCAUGCAUCAAAGAGUGUUUCUAAAUCCAUCUGCACAAAAGAAGAGAUAUCAUUAUGUAAUUUAGCCAUUUUAGCCGACGAAAAAUAUUUUAGUAAAAAUUUCUCGGUCAUUUGUUCCCAAGUUGUAAUUGACCCUCGUGGUAACGAGUUCAACCACUUUUUUAGCUUUGUUCCUCAAUGAGAAAGGGAAUAACCGAAGACGAAUGACAUCGUCAGAAACGCCAUUAAUUUUAAAUGUAUCGCAUAGAUUCAAAAAGUUUGCUAAGUGAGCGUUGGGAUCUUCAUCCUGCAAACCAUCAAACUGAAAAAACUGUUGUAUCAUUUGAAUUACGUUAGGUUUCAGUUCAAAAGUAUUUGCAGCUAUAGCAGGUCUAACUAUGCUUGAUUCAGUUCCUGUUAAAGAAGGUUUAGCAUAAUCAUACAUAGUGCGUGGAACAAGAUUUUGAUUAGCCGCAAUUGCAGGAGGUAGCUGAUUGUCUUGGUGUUCAGCCAUCUCUUCGGUUGGGGGUUGAGUAUCGUCUUCUUGCUCGUUCUCUGUGUAUCUUAGGCUUCGCCUUAUUUCUCUUUGGUUUCUGCGAAUUGUGCGAUUGACUUCUUCGUCAAAAAGUAGUGGUCCUAACGGGUUUCUUCUAGUCAUAAACUAUAAAAAACCUGCCAGAAGAAAGAAAAAGAAAAUUAGUAAAUUAGAAUGAAAUUAAAAAUAAAAUUAGAUUGCAAGAAAAUAAAUGGCUAAAGUAAUAAAAAUUAAGUGUUCCUAAUAUUUUAGUUCCCCGGUAACGGCGCCAAAAACUUGAUCGUGUGAUUUCGUAAUAGGUUUUAAAUAUUUAUAAUUAAUCGUUCUUGAAACUAACUAUUAUCGCGAUGUAGGCAAGUGUACCUAUUGAACAGUAGUAAAGUUUUAGCAAGACCAGAUUGUCGAACCCAAAGGAACUAAAAGUACUAGUAAUGACUGUCUUUUUAUUAUCUAGCCUAGGAAUAAAGAGGUUUUGUUUUAACUAACUAAUUAUCUAAACUAAGAACUCACAGAGAAUAGAAUUGGGGAAUUGCUUUUGGGAAAAUCGAUUGACUGCACUUGUUAUUCUGGAUCUGAAUCAGACGAUUUAUUCAUUUAACUUGUUCCGUAGAGAUCCUUAAGUUAUGUUAUUAUCCAUAUUCAAGACUAAUAACGUCUAAUCCCUAGAUUGAAUAAUUGAGACCUUUCUCUAAUUAACACCCUAGGGUUGCAUUAACUCGAUCUAUGGAUCCCCUCAUUCGGUUUCACCCUAAUUCGAAAAAAAUCUUGUCACCCUAUGUCUAGGCGCGCAAACAACUCCGCUUAAUUAUGACAAAUGUACUCUUAGACAGGGUCUAUUCCUCCUCUGAAUAAGAGCUUAUCUUGAAUCAGUAUCCUGGGAUAUCAAAACAAGAAUUAAGAACACAUAAUUAAGAACAAGUUAAAUAUUUAUCAUACAAUUCAGAAAAUAAUAACAAGAUUCGUCUUAGGUUUCAUUCCCCUUAGGGGAUUUAGUUUAUAACUAAAUAAGAAAACAUAUCAGAAAAAUAAAGAAUACAAAACAUAAAGAAAACUCAAAACUCUGAAGGGGAAAUUGAAGAGAGAUCUUCAGUCUUGAUGAUGAAUCCGGCUUCUGAGAUGGAUCAAUCGGCUUUCUUGGAGUAAUUCCUUAAUCCCUAUUCUGUGUGUCCUCUUUCUUCCUCCUCUAGGGUGUAUUUAUAGGCUUUAGGAUGCCUAAGAGCCCUCAAAAGUGACCUUUUCCGAAUUGGACUCAACUUGGGCUCGGUAGGGACACGCCCGUGUGUGAUUAUUUAAGUCCAUGUUCGAGCCUGUUAGAAUGGCAUUGGCUUGUGUUCUACCCGUGUGAGUCGUGCUUCGGUUCUACCAAAUUGACACGGCCGUGUGGGUGGCCCGUGUGAGGAAGUCCAAGUCGUGUUGACUUUGUACUUUGGCCCAUUUUCUCUAUUUUUGGCCCGUUUCUCGUUCCUUUCACUCUCCUAUGCUCUUCUAAGUAUAAAACAUGAAAUUAAAGCAUUAGGAGCAUCGAAUUCACCAAUUCUAAUGGGAAAUCAUCCAUAAAAUGCGUUUAACAUUGGGUAAAAAUAUGUAUAAAUUACAGUUUAUUAGUUAUAAUUUCAUUUCAAAUGUAUUCUAUAGGCUUUGAUACAAUAUAAAUUGCAAUUAUGUGACUACGAAUAAUUUUGGAAAUGAUUCGAUGAUAAUUCGACGAUUGGAAUGCCAGUUGAACCUUAGGAAUAGUUUAGGAUACUAGUGACAUGUCAUUAGCAGAUACAGUGAGUUGGGUUUGGGCCAUGAUAUAACAAUUCGGGUGCGAGAUAAACCAAUUUGGCUUUGGGCCAUGCAUAUCGGCUGAUUUGGCUUCAGGCUAUGAUAUCUAUAUUUCACAGAUAAAUUACUUUGAUUUGGCUACGGGCAAUAGUAUAGGUACUUAUCGUGUGAGACCCUUGAGUGUCCGACUUCUAUUCUGAAUGGUUCAACGGGUAAAUGAAAGACGAGAAUGUGUAUGAGAUUAGCAUGAGAUGGUACAGGUAUGUGCAUAAACCAUAUUAGCUUUGAAUCAAAGAAAUGGCGAAGAAAGUAUAUAGUUUAGUGAAUGAGUUAUUGAAAGGUUUGUUAGUUGAUGUGAAUUCUUACACUCAUGAUCAAUAGUUGAAUUAAGUGUUAUGAUUAUAUAGAGUUUAUGUCAUACGAGCUUACUAAGCUUUAUAGCUUACUUUGUUUAUUUUUCUAUGUUUUAUAGUGAAUUCAAAGCUAGCUCUGAUUCGGGGAUCGUCGGAGACAUCGUCACACUAUCCAUCUAUCUCUCGUUACCUAUGAACUUUGGCAUUAUAAGUACAUGGUAUAUAUAGGGAUUUUGAGUCAUUUUGGUUUUGUUUUGAUAAUGAUUUUGGCCAUUUGAUUUGGCUUGUAAAUUUAUAUGUUUUGGUUUGUAUAUAUAUAGCCAUGUGAUUUGGCUUCGGAUGGUGAAUUUGAUGAUGUAUAUAAAUGUGUAAAUGGCUUUUGCUUUUAUUUGGUAAUUGACCUAUGUUGUGUGAUUGAGAUUGGAUUCAUGAUGCUUAUUGAUAUUAGG